This is a long non-coding RNA of Pseudophryne corroboree (corroboree frog), 320 nucleotides long. RefSeq lists it as uncharacterized. The transcript is spliced from 2 exons. The record is from RefSeq and is a predicted model, not a curated record. Lineage: Eukaryota; Metazoa; Chordata; Amphibia; Anura; Myobatrachidae.
ACUGUCAGUGCUGCAUGAAGAGGAAAGGGGGCCCCGGUCCUACCACCCACCAGCCGCUGCCCAUUGCUUGCUGCAGCUGCUGUCGUACAAUAAAGUGUGCGUGACGACACAAUGUACUGGAGGACAGAGGAGCCGCAGUGCCUGAGGAGCAGCCUAGAUCAGGAGAAGGAGGAAAGCAGAGCGCAGCCAGACAAGAGUAAGAGACACGAGCAAGAGAAGGCAAGAGGAUCCGACACUGAGGCACCAGAGAAGAGACUGAUUAGUUGGACUAGAGAAAGAGGCCGGGAUGGGCUGUGUACAGGAUUCUCUGUGCACACCUA